This is a non-coding RNA of Cricetulus griseus (Chinese hamster), 423 nucleotides long. NCBI's taxonomy places the organism in Eukaryota, Metazoa, Chordata, Mammalia, Rodentia, Cricetidae. The record is from RefSeq and is a predicted model, not a curated record.
CUCCAGCUUGGAGGGGGCUGCCUGCCCAGACUCCUGCUCUCCCUCCCACAUUUGGGAGGGGGUGUCUACCAAGCCUGAAAAGCCAGCCGUUAGCAACUGAAGAGGGGAAACUGAGGCACGGGAAAGGGAAGACCAGGCUGUGUAAACCGUGGGAUCGCACCCCUGGCCCCGGAGCCCAGACUAGACAUCAACAAGAUGCUGCCUUGCGUUUGUGAAGCUUGAAGGCACUGAGAGGUGAAGGGUCUUCUUGGAGCUGUCAAACCAAUUUCCAUCACAGCUGAGAACAAACCUAAGCCCUUCCCCCAGUCUGGAAGGCCAUGUCCCACCAGAGCUUAUCCGGGUAUCUGUUAGCCUGGUGGACGGCUCACCUCAACAGCCACUCCAGGAGAAGGAAACAGCAGCUAGCCCCAAGCAGUAGCCGUC